This 517-nucleotide ribosomal RNA is filed under the name uncultured bacterium. RNAcentral describes it as "bacterial SSU rRNA". It matches the Rfam family "Bacterial small subunit ribosomal RNA", at positions 32 to 518 of the family's 1533-position model. The record is from RNAcentral.
GACGCUGGCGGCGUGCCUAAUACAUGCAAGUCGAACGGUCUUUUCUAUGGAAGCUUGCUUCCACUGAGAAGAUAGUGGCGAACGGGUGAGUAACACGUGGGUAACCUGCCCAUAAGAGGGGGGAUAACAUCCGGAAACGGGUGGCUAAUACCGCAUAGUUUUCUUGGUCGCAUGAUCGGGAAAGGAAAGACGGCCUUUGUGCUGUCGCUUAUGGAUGGACCCGCGGCGUAUUAGUUAGUUGGUGAGGUAACGGCUCACCAAGACGAUGAUACGUAGCCGACCUGAGAGGGUGAUCGGCCACAUUGGGACUGAGACACGGCCCAAACUCCUACGGGAGGCAGCAGUAGGGAAUCUUCCGCAAUGGACGAAAGUCUGACGGAGCAACGCCGCGUGAGUGAAGAAAAGGUUUUCGGAUCGUAAAACUCUGUUGUCAGAGAAGAACAAGUUGGAGAGUAACUGCUCCAGCCUUGACGGUAUCUGACCAGAAAGCCACGGCUAACUACGUGCCAGCCGCUGC